CAAGUCGAACGAAUCCCAGGGGGCAACCCCUGGGGGAAGUGGCGAAAGGGGCAGUAAGGCAUGGGUAACCUACCCCGGGGACCGGGAUAGCCCUUCUAACGAGGGGGUAAUACCGGGCGAGGUAACGGAGGGGCAUCCCCCUGUUACGAGAGGAGUUUCGCCUCGGGAGGGGCUCAUGUAGUAUUAGCUAGACGGCGGGGUAACGGCCCACCGUGGCGAAGAUGCUUAGCGGGUGUGAGAGCACGACCCGCGCCACUGGCACUGAGACACUGGCCAGACUCCUACGGGAGGCUGCAGUCGAGGAUCUUCGGCAAUGGGCGCAAGCCUGACCGAGCGACGCCGCGUGGGCGAUGAAGGCCUUCGGGUUGUAAAGCCCUUUAGCGGGGGAGGAAGGCGCAAGCUUGACCGACCCCGAGAAUAAGCACGGGCUAAGUUCGUGCCAGCAGCCGCGGUAAGACGAACCGUGCGAACGUUGUUCGGAAUCACUGGGCUUAAAGGGCGCGUAGGCGGCCCGCCAAGUCCGGGGUGAAAUACUCCAGCUUAACUGGAGAAGUGCCCUGGAAACUGGCGGGCUCGAGCGAGGUAGGGGUGAUGGGAACUUCCGGUGGAGCGGUGAAAUGCGUUGAUAUCGGAAGGAACGCCGGUGGCGAAAGCGCAUCACUGGACCUCUCCUGACGCUGAGGCGCGAAAGCCAGGGGAGCAAACGGGAUUAGAUACCCCGGUAGUCCUGGCCCUAAACGAUGGGUACUAGGUAGUAAGCUUACAUGGGCUCACUGCCGAAGCAAAAGUGGUAAGUACCCCGCCUGGGGAGUAUGGU
This 817-nucleotide ribosomal RNA is filed under the name uncultured Planctomycetota bacterium. RNAcentral describes it as "bacterial SSU rRNA". It matches the Rfam family "Bacterial small subunit ribosomal RNA", at positions 58 to 886 of the family's 1533-position model. Lineage: Bacteria; Pseudomonadati; Planctomycetota. The record is from RNAcentral.